GAGUUUGAUUCUGGCUCAGGACGAACGCUGGCGGCGUGCCUAAUACAUGCAAGUCGAACGAACGGAGAAAGAAGCUUGCUUUUUUCAAAGUUAGUGGCGAACGGGUGAGUAACACGUGGGUAACCUGCCCAUCAGAGGGGGAUAACAUUCGGAAACGGAUGCUAAAACCGCAUAGGUUCCUUAGUUGCAUGACUGAGGAAGGAAAAGAGGCGUAAGCUUCUGCUGGUGGAUGGACCCGCGGUGCAUUAGCUAGUUGGUGAGGUAACGGCUCACCAAGGCGAUGAUGCAUAGCCGACCUGAGAGGGUGAUCGGCCACAUUGGGACUGAGACACGGCCCAAACUCCUACGGGAGGCAGCAGUAGGGAAUCUUCCGCAAUGGACGCAAGUCUGACGGAGCAACGCCGCGUGAGUGAAGAAGGUUUUCGGAUCGUAAAACUCUGUUGUUAGAGAAGAAUAAGCAUAAUAGUAACUGAUUAUGCCGUG
RNAcentral lists this ribosomal RNA (483 nucleotides) under Granulicatella sp. canine oral taxon 095. RNAcentral's name for it is "bacterial SSU rRNA". It matches the Rfam family "Bacterial small subunit ribosomal RNA", at positions 9 to 471 of the family's 1533-position model. Lineage: Bacteria; Bacillati; Bacillota; Bacilli; Lactobacillales; Carnobacteriaceae. The record is from RNAcentral.